GUGCGGCAAGGCCAGCCCAGGCGAAGGAGUCUCGGAGGGGUGUUGGCGUACAUUCCAUGCAGAUCCUGGUUGAAACUUUGUCGCGGUGGAAUGCCAGGGACGGAAUGCCGGCAGCAGAGCAGCCUGGGGCCAUCCGUAUAAUCCCUGAUACCAGUGAUGUGAGGACGGUGCGGCAAGGCCAGGCCAGGCGAAGGAGUCUCGGAGGGGUGUUGGCGUACAUUCCAUGCGGAUCCUUGUUGAAACUUUGUCGCGGUGGAAUGCCAGGGACGGAAUGCCGGCAGCAGAGCAGCCUGGGGCCAUCCGUAUAAUCCGUGAUACCAGUGAAGUGAGGACGGUGCGGCAAGGCCAGGCCAGGCGAAGGAGUCUCGGAGGGGUGUUGGCGUACAUUCCAUGCGGAUCCUGGUUGAAACUUUGUCGCGGUGGAAUGCCAGGGACGGAAUGCCAGCAGCAGAGCAGCCUGGGGCCAUCCGUAUAAUCCCUGAUACCAGUGAUGUGAGGACGGUGCGGCAAGGCCAGGAUAGGCGAAGGAGUCUCGGAGGGGUGUUGGCGAACAUUCCAUGCGGAUCCUGGUUGAAACUUUGUCGCUGUGGAAUGCCAGGGACGGAAUGCCGGCAGCAGAGCAGCCUGGGGCCAUCCGUAUAAUCCCUGAUACCAGUGAUGUGAGGACGGUGCGGCAAGGCCAGGAUAGGCGAAGGAGUCUCGGAGGGUUGUUGGCGUACAUUCCAUGGGGAUCCUUGUUGAAACUUUGUCGCUUUGGAAUGCCCGAGAAGGAAUGCCAGCAGCAGAGCAGCCUGGGAACAUCUGUAUAAUCCGUGAUACCCAGUGAAGUGAGGAUGGUGUGGCAAGGCGAGCCCAGGCAAAGGAAUCUCGGAAAGUUGUUGGCAUGCUUUCCAUGAGGAUCCUCGUUUAAACCUUGUUUUAAACCUUGUUGUGGUUGGAAGUAAUAUUGGAAUUGCAUGGAAUUCUUACCACCCCACCAAAGAAGAGCUGGUUUUUCCACUUCUGCCACUCCUUAUCUAAGAAGAAAUCCAAUUAUGCACUCUCAAGAAUUUUUGCAUUUUCUCAGUCUUCCUACUAAUGCCUCAUACAGGAAUUAAGCAUGGAGACAAAGGGUAACAAAGAUAGAGCUCAGGUUUCCUAUGAAAAUGUUUAUUCCUUCCACUUAAGAUGCGACAUGAAGGAAAGGCCCAUCCUAAGAGGCCAGUGGGAAUUCUCAAGUCAGUAAGCAUUUGCCCCUAAAAUAUUGACCUUCCUUCUAAGGAUUAUAGAAUAUUCCAAUUACCAUAAGGCACUGUCUAUGAUAGUCAGCUGUGGAGCCUGGAUCACUGAUGUGGGGUCUGGUCUCCAUAACUGAGUAGAGUAGAUAAGGGAUGAACUUCGGAGUUUCUUUCACUUUCUGAGGUGAGGAGUGCCCUAUUUUAGAAACUCAUGUGUAUCAAUGAUUGCUAUAAUAAUUGAUCUCAUUUAAAAAUCUGAACAAAAUGAGUUACACAAUCACUUCUGUGAAACUGAGGUCUAGCAUAGAUACCCACCCUAAGCAAAAUAUUUACAGGGUGGAGAUCAGCGAUUUCAUUCGUGUGGUAUCAGGAAGAACUGUGGUAUUAGAAAGCUAAGCUGCUUGCAUGCUUUAGGGAACUGAACUGUACAGUGUCUAUUCAUAUCUAAUUUUCAGCUGAAAUUACAACCCUUUGA
Physeter macrocephalus (sperm whale) is the source of this 1692-nucleotide long non-coding RNA. RefSeq lists it as uncharacterized. Lineage: Eukaryota; Metazoa; Chordata; Mammalia; Artiodactyla; Physeteridae. The transcript is spliced from 9 exons. The record is from RefSeq and is a predicted model, not a curated record.